GGGUGCGAUCAUACCAGCACUAAAACACCGGAUCCCAUCAGAACUCCGCAGCUAAGCGUGCUUGGGCGAGAGUAGUACUGGGAUGGGUGACCUACAGGGAAAUCCUCGUGUUGCACCCC
This 119-nucleotide ribosomal RNA is filed under the name Zostera marina. The record is from RNAcentral. Lineage: Eukaryota; Viridiplantae; Streptophyta; Magnoliopsida; Alismatales; Zosteraceae.